Molecule: ribosomal RNA, 510 nt
Filed under: uncultured bacterium
Lineage: Bacteria
Description: bacterial SSU rRNA
Rfam family: Bacterial small subunit ribosomal RNA
Source: RNAcentral
GAUGAACGCUAGCGGCAGGCCUAAUACAUGCAAGUCGAACGGAUAUAUGUUUUUCGGAAUAUAUAUUAGUGGCGCACGGGUGAGUAACACGUACAUAACUUGCCCUCAAGCGGGGGAUAGCCUUGGGAAACUGAGAGUAAUACCCCAUAGAAUUAUUGGACGGCAUCGUUUGAUAAUUAAAACUACGGUGUUUGGGGAUAGAUGUGCGUCUGAUUAGCUAGUUGGUGAGGUAACUGCUCACCAAGGCGACGAUCAGUAGGGGGCGUGAGAGCGUGGCCCCCCCACACGGGUACUGAGACACGGACCCGACUCCUACGGGAGGCAGCAGUAAGGAAUAUUGGUCAAUGGAGGGAACUCUGAACCAGCCAUGCCGCGUGAAGGAUGACGGCCCUCUGGGUUGUAAACUUCUUUUGGAUGGGGCGAAAAAAACGGGAUUUAUCCUGGACUGACGGUACCAUCAGAAUAAGCACCGGCUAACUCCGUGCCAGCAGCCGCGGUAAUGUAGUCGUG